AUCUGUCCGGGUAUCAAAACAAACUCUGGCCCGCCGCCACGUGCUUGAAGCCUGACAGGCGGUGAGUGGGAAGCCGACGUGUGUGGUAAAGUGAAGGAAGAAACAUAGAGUAAGAAGUAAGGAUAAACAGAGAACCUGAGGAUCAAUACAGCUCACAGUAGUGUCAUGUCUGACUCAAGCAGUUCAGAUGGGGAGGAGUCGAGGUUUAAGGAAAUCUGUGAUCCUACACUGUGGAAGACAGCAUCCAGGAGAGAUAAGGCGGACACUGAUCUUCCAAAGCAGGCUGCCAACCCUCAACACCGCAAUGAGUUCAGCGGGAGGCAGUCCUUCGUGUUGCUGGAAAAGAUCAAGGCGUCACUUGCUGCCAGUCAGACUAAGAGUGGCAGUCCAUGGAGGGACUGUGAUGAUUCAGGAUCACACAAGAAGGGAUCUCGGACAGUUGAUGUGAGCCGAAGCAAUGUGGCAGCUCCCUCCACACUCUCCUCUUACCUUGCCAAGCAGCUUGCCGCCAGACUGGAUGGGAGUGUGGAAUUUUACUCCAACCAAGACAAUUCUUCACCACAAAGCCAGGAUUGUGGCAGCACCAACCAUCAAAGCUUCCACCUCCUGAAGAAUGUUUCACUCAUUCACCAGGAGAGCGAAACUCUCAGUGAUACACAGAAGAGGAAAAGGAAGAGAGUCAAGGUUCCAAAGAAACUUGCCUACUAUGUCAGCUCAGAUGAGGAGGAUCUGAAGACCAAGUGUAGUUCAGUGGCAGUAUCUCCUGAGUGGAUCCAGACAGGGAGUGAGUCUUACCCUCGGCCUCAUCCCAAGAAUGUGAGAUACUUAGAUGAGUACAAAGUGAAGGAACACAGGCCAGAUGGAAGCAUUGUAGCUGUACCAUGCUCUGCAUUGGAUUCCACUGACACUGCUAAAGCUGGCAGUGAAAGAAAGAAAAAGAAAUCCAAGAAAAAUGUGUCUGAAAAUAAAAGUGAAGCUUUAGUGUGUAAAAAGGAACAAGUUAGUGGGAGUUUUCAAAAUGGUUUUAACAAUAUUCACGAAAACUUGAUUUCUGAAGUAAAAACACAAAGAAAACAGACAAGGAAGAGAGGUAAAAAGAAGAAAAAGAAAGAUGAUAGUGAAAUUAGUACUCUGUAAAUCAAAAAGAUUGUUUAGGUGGAAGAAACUGAUGAUGUUCUUCCUGUCUAGUCAGUAUUUUGUUUCCUCCCAUACAUCCUUGCAGUGUGAGUGUUAACUUAACAAAAACUACAUAAUGAACACUGACCAGUACCUAUACGAUUAAGCUUAAGGAUCACAUUCUGUCCAUGUGGAAUUUAAGGCUAUGUCCGCAUUGGAAGUGAGAAAGUGGACGAAAGCGAGAGCAAGAAACUUUAAUACAUGACAACUAGUGGAGGUGGCUGCACUGGCAGUGGCCAGGGGAUGGCUUCCUCAUGGGUUGAAAGAAUUAUUGAGUCCUGAUAAAACUAAUAGAGGAGGAGGAGGAAGACCAGAAGUGUGACCCCCUACAAAGACCACCACUAGGACCUGGAACCCAAAGAGAGGCAGCAGCACGUCCCAGCCCUGGUCAGGUCAGCCACGCUCGUCCUUGCCCUGACUUGGCCUCAGGAUCCAGCAGAUGGUAAUCUGAUUGGCAGUGGAAGGGAGCAGAGGAGGUUCAUGGCUCCUCACCUCGGACUAACCCGUACUUGUCCGUGGCCUGGAUUGAAUGGAGUUUCUUGGCCCCUUAACUACAAGGGUCUGCAUGUGUUGGAUUGGUGCUGCCUCCAGUGUGUUGGUGCUGCUGCUUUGAAGAUUCGUUGUUGCUGACAUGCUUGUUGAAUCUAUACUUAAUGUCAUCCUUGUGUGUCAGACUUGUGGACUUGCUGUGAUGCAGGUUAAUAAGCUUCCAGUGUUAAGAGUUCUGAGGACUCCCAAAUAUAUAUAUAUAUUUAU
Molecule: unclassified non-coding RNA, 1932 nt
Filed under: Portunus trituberculatus (swimming crab)
Lineage: Eukaryota; Metazoa; Arthropoda; Malacostraca; Decapoda; Portunidae
Description: uncharacterized LOC123515373, transcript variant X2
Source: RNAcentral